RNAcentral lists this non-coding RNA (20 nucleotides) under Arabidopsis thaliana (thale cress). Lineage: Eukaryota; Viridiplantae; Streptophyta; Magnoliopsida; Brassicales; Brassicaceae. The record is from RNAcentral.
UGGCCCAGAACUUUCUGGUA